AGAGUUUGAUCAUGGCUCAGGAUGAACGCUAGCUACAGGCUUAACACAUGCAAGUCGAGGGGAAACGAUAUUGGAAGCUUGCUUCCGAUAGGCGUCGACCGGCGCACGGGUGAGUAACGCGUAUCCAACCUGCCCACCACUUGGGGAUAACCUUGCGAAAGUAAGACUAAUACCCAAUGAUAUCUCUAGAAGACAUCUGAAAGAGAUUAAAGAUUUAUCGGUGAUGGAUGGGGAUGCGUCUGAUUAGCUUGUUGGCGGGGUAACGGCCCACCAAGGCAACGAUCAGUAGGGGUUCUGAGAGGAAGGUCCCCCACAUUGGAACUGAGACACGGUCCAAACUCCUACGGGAGGCAGCAGUGAGGAAUAUUGGUCAAUGGACGAGAGUCUGAACCAGCCAAGUAGCGUGCAGGAAGACGGCCCUAUGGGUUGUAAACUGCUUUUAUAAGGGAAUAAAGUGAGAGUCGUGACUCUUUUUGCAUGUACCUUAUGAAUAAGGACCGGCUAAUUCCGUGCCAGCAGCCGCGGUAAUACGGAAGGUCCGGGCGUUAUCCGGAUUUAUUGGGUUUAAAGGGAGCGUAGGCCGGAGAUUAAGCGUGUUGUGAAAUGUAGACGCUCAACGUCUGCACUGCAGCGCGAACUGGUUUCCUUGAGUACGCACAAAGUGGGCGGAAUUCGUGGUGUAGCGGUGAAAUGCUUAGAUAUCACGAAGAACUCCGACUGCGAAGGCAGCUCACUGGAGCGCAACUGACGCUGAAGCUCGAAAGUGCGGGUAUCGAACAGGAUUAGAUACCCUGGUAGUCCGCACGGUAAACGAUGGAUGCCCGCUGUUGGUCUGAAUAGGUCAGCGGCCAAGCGAAAGCAUUAAGCAUCCCACCUGGGGAGUACGCCGGCAACGGUGAAACUCAAAGGAAUUGACGGGGGCCCGCACAAGCGGAGGAACAUGUGGUUUAAUUCGAUGAUACGCGAGGAACCUUACCCGGGCUUGGAUUGCAGAGGAAGGAUUUGGAGACAAUGACGCCCUUCGGGGCCUCUGUGAGGGUGCUGCAUGGUUGUCGUCAGCUCGUGCCGUGAGGUGUCGGCUUAAGUGCCAUAACGAGCGCAACCCCUCUCCUUAGUUGCCAUCAGGUUAAGCUGGGCACUCUGGGGACACUGCCACCGUAAGGUGUGAGGAAGGUGGGGAUGACGUCAAAUCAGCACGGCCCUUACGUCCGGGGCUACACGCGUGUUACAAUGGCAGGUACAGAGAGAC
RNAcentral lists this ribosomal RNA (1249 nucleotides) under metagenome. RNAcentral describes it as "bacterial SSU rRNA". It matches the Rfam family "Bacterial small subunit ribosomal RNA", at positions 8 to 1248 of the family's 1533-position model. The record is from RNAcentral.